RNAcentral lists this ribosomal RNA (253 nucleotides) under uncultured bacterium. RNAcentral's name for it is "partial 16S ribosomal RNA". It matches the Rfam family "Bacterial small subunit ribosomal RNA", at positions 524 to 776 of the family's 1533-position model. The record is from RNAcentral.
UACGUAGGUGGCAAGCGUUGUCCGGAUUUACUGGGCGUAAAGAGCGCGCAGGCGGUCGUUCAAGUCGCGUGUGAAAGCCCCCGGCUCAACUGGGGAGGGUCACGCGAUACUGAUCGACUCGAAGGCAGGAGAGGGUAGUGGAAUUCCCGGUGUAGUGGUGAAAUGCGCAGAUAUCAGGAGGAACACCAAUGGCGAAGGCAGCUCGCUGGCCCGAUACUGACGCUGAGGUGCGAAAGCGUGGGGAGCAAACAGG